AAGUCUUGACAUCCCGAUGACAGAGUAUGUAAUGUACUUUCUCUUCGGAGCAUCGGUGACAGGUGGUGCAUGGUUGUCGUCAGCUCGUGUCGUGAGAUGUUGGGUUAAGUCCCGCAACGAGCGCAACCCCUGUUCUUAGUAGCCAGCGGUUCGGCCGGGCACUCUAGGGAGACUGCCAGGGAUAACCUGGAGGAAGGCGGGGAUGACGUCAAAUCAUCAUGCCCCUUAUGACUUGGGCUACACACGUGCUACAAUGGCGUAAACAAAGGGAAGCAAAGCCGUGAGGCCGAGCAAAUCUCAAAAAUAACGUCUCAGUUCGGACUGUAGUCUGCAACCCGACUACACGAAGCUGGAAUCGCUAGUAAUCGCAGAUCAGAAUGCUGCGGUGAAUACGUUCCCGGGUCUUGUACACACCGCCCGUCACACCAUGGGAGUUGGAAAUGCCCGAAGUCAGUGACCCAACCGCAAGGAGGGAGCUGCCGAAGGCAGGUUCGAUAACUGGGGUGAAGUCGUAACAAGGUAGCCGUAUCGGAAGGUGCGGCUGGAUCACCUCCUUU
Molecule: ribosomal RNA, 557 nt
Filed under: human gut metagenome
Description: bacterial SSU rRNA
Rfam family: Bacterial small subunit ribosomal RNA
Source: RNAcentral